ACGCUGGCGGCGUGCUUAACACAUGCAAGUCGAACGAGAAUCUAUGGAUCGAGGAUUCGUCCAAGUGAAGUAGAGGACAGUGGCGGACGGGUGAGUAACGCGUGAGGAACCUGCCUUUCAGAGGGGGACAACAGUUGGAAACGACUGCUAAUACCGCAUGACACAUAGAGAUCGCAUGGUUUUAUGUCAAAGAUUUAUCGCUGAAAGAUGGCCUCGCGUCUGAUUAGCUGGUUGGUGAGGUAAACGGCCCACCAAGGCGACGAUCAGUAGCCGGACUGAGAGGUUGACCGGCCACAUUGGGACUGAGAUACGGCCCAGACUCCUACGGGAGGCAGCAGUGGGGAAUAUUGGGCAAUGGGCGCAAGCCUGACCCAGCAACGCCGCGUGAAGGAAGAAGGCUUUCGGGUUGUAAACUUCUUUUGUCGGGGACGAGUAGAAGACGGUACCUGGCGAAUAAGCCACGGCUAACUACGUG
Molecule: ribosomal RNA, 475 nt
Filed under: uncultured bacterium
Lineage: Bacteria
Description: bacterial SSU rRNA
Rfam family: Bacterial small subunit ribosomal RNA
Source: RNAcentral